GAACAAGCCAAAAGCAGGAUUAAUCGUGGUAAAACCUCCAUCUAAAGCUAAAUUAUGCCCACUCAUGUACUUGGAUUCAUCACUCCCUAAAUAAAUUGCAGCUUCAGCUACAUCUUCUUUUUUAAGCUUCACCCCUUCAAGAUUUGAGCAUACACCAUUAGACCCUCCGUCCUCUUCCAUCUUGAAGAAGUUCAUUAUCAAUGGUGUUUCAGUGACGUAAGGUGACAAACAAUUCACUCGAAUCCUAAACCGCCGAAGCUCUGCUGCGGCGUUCUUUGGUAGACCCACAAUAGCAUGUUUUGUGCUAGUGUAUGCGUGAGAUGCAACCCCACCAACGCUAGAACAAACACUUCCUAGCGUAAUUAUGCUACCUUGACGAUUAGGAAUCAUCACUCGAGCAGCGUGUUUUGUUCCCAAGAAAACUCCUAUCAGGUUAACCCUCACCACUCGCUCAAAAUCAGUUAACUCGUUGUCGAUGAUGCUGGGUUUGCGUGGAUCGCCUACGACUGCAUUGUUCACCAUUAUGUCGAGCUUUACAAAGGUGGAGAUUGCAAUAUCAACAGCCUUUUCGAUGUCGGAUUCUAUGGUUACAUCACAAUGCACAAACGCAUCCAUAUUGGCUCCAAGGUCUUUAGACACUAACUGGCCUAAUUCGUCUUGGAUAUCAGCAAUUAUUACUUUAGCCCCGUGUUUGCAAAAGCUUCUGGCUAUGCACUCACCAAUGCUUGUAGCCCCUCCGGUGAUUAGUGCUACCUUACCUUCCAACCUACGACAUUUUUAAG
RNAcentral lists this unclassified non-coding RNA (782 nucleotides) under Hevea brasiliensis (rubber tree). The record is from RNAcentral. Lineage: Eukaryota; Viridiplantae; Streptophyta; Magnoliopsida; Malpighiales; Euphorbiaceae.